This 484-nucleotide ribosomal RNA is filed under the name uncultured bacterium. Its description in RNAcentral is "partial 16S ribosomal RNA". It matches the Rfam family "Bacterial small subunit ribosomal RNA", at positions 30 to 507 of the family's 1533-position model. The record is from RNAcentral.
AUUGAACGCUGGCGGCAGGCCUAACACAUGCCAGUCGAGCGGAUGAAGGGAGCUUGCUCCUGGAUUCAGCGGCGGACGGGUGAGUAAUGCCUAGGAAUCUGCCUGGUAGUGGGGGAUAACGUCCGGAAACGGGCGCUAAUACCGCAUACGUCCUGAGGGAGAAAGUGGGGGAUCUUCGGACCUCACGCUAUCAGAUGAGCCUAGGUCGGAUUAGCUAGUUGGUGGGGUAAAGGCCUACCAAGGCGACGAUCCGUAACUGGUCUGAGAGGAUGAUCAGUCACACUGGAACUGAGACACGGCCCAGACUCCUACGGGAGGCAGCAGUGGGGAAUAUUGGACAAUGGGCGAAAGCCUGAUCCAGCCAUGCCGCGUGUGUGAAGAAGGUCUUCGGAUUGUAAAGCACUUUAAGUUGGGAGGAAGGGCAGUAAGUUAAUACCUUGCUGUUUUGACGUUACCAACAGAAUAAGCACCGGCUAACUUCGUG